AAAAUAUUGAGAAAGUAUGACUCUCUCCAACUAUAAUUUAAUUUUCUACAACAUAUCUAUGAAUAUCUUAGAUUUUUACGUGCCUUUAGACUUAAAGCUGGUUUGGGAAGUGUUCAUUUAAAUUAUAAAUAAAUAUCAUGUCUAUUAAUCAUCCUCUAUAGAUUUUUUUUGUGAAUUUACAUCAAUUUAUUAAUAUAAUAUUCCCCUUGUACUUUUUCUUAUUUUCUAUGUUGGAUCUAAGUUCCAAUUCCAGUAGUUUGUUCUAUGGACGAAAGCUUAUUCCUCUGACACAUUUAAUCGAAAAUGUAGAAAAUCUAAUUAAGACUCCAAUUUUUUACUGGUUGCACAUAGCUGUUUAUUAUAAAUGAAAUCUUAACUGAAAGAUAAUGUUCAUCUUGUAAGUAUUAUGCUCUAAGUCCAAUCAACUUUGGACAUAAAUACUUUUAUAUAUAAUUAAUACAAUUAAAUGGCAGAUCUAUUAUUUAAUUAAUAGACAAUUAAAUAAAUAAUAGAGUCCGUAGAUUCAAAUAUUUGUAAUUUGUUAAUCACAAGGAGUUGUGAUUGUGAGAUACAAAUUACAUCUGAUUGAGUCUUAAAUCAUCCGUGGUCGUAAGUAAUAACGAGAUACGGAUAUCGUUAUUACGGAUAGACCAUCACGUGUGGCAUUUCUUACUUGUAAAGUAAGUAGCUGAUCUCACAAGUUAAAGUGUGAUGACACUUAAAUGAACACGUGGAUGUUUUGUUAUAGAACAAAACAUUGGAGACCCGUCGAGAGAUUCCACAUGGAUAACUAUCUGAGUGUCGGUGGUUAAUCUCUAAUGUUCGGUAGUGAAAUUGGUCAUUUGACUUGAGGUCGUCAUGGUACCUUAUAUGAGGACAGUCAUACUUUGGCGGUGUUGGAUGUUGCUCUGAAAAGGGCCGCUAAUACGACAUCGUUCGAGUACGUCAAGAAUCGUAUGAAGGUUGUGAUUGAUUAAUAAAGGAUUCGUUACUCUUAGAUAGUAGGAGAUUAUGAUCUGCGUUUCACUCAAUUAAGUCAAUGAUGAAAUCCUUGGCCAAGGUGUACUCAUAAGUCGAAAAGGAGUUUUCGAUUUAUAUUGACUUAAUAGUGGAGUGAAAGAUAUGAUCGAUGAUCGAGAUUGACACAACUCCAUAUCUCGUAAUUAAUCGGAUCAUAUUGACGAACGGAUUAUAGUUUCAUGGUAAACGAACGAAUUUGGCUUUGUCAUACCACGUGACAUUUCCCGUCACAUGUAUUGCCCUGACACAUUGCUAGAUGUCAAUCAGGGACGGAGAAUGUGAAUUGACGAUAAAUUAAAAGGGUGUUUUAAUUUGUCAAUUUUGACUAGAUUAAAAUAAUAUUUCACGUCAUUAUGUAUCGUGGUCGGGAACCUAAUGGGUCACACACAAAAGAGAAUUAGAAGAUUGCAAAUUGUCAAUUGGUUAAUUUAACAAUCGUUGGAUAAAUUAAUUAAUUGGAUUUGUUAUUUAUAUUUUCGAAUUAAUUAAUUGGAUUAAUUAAUUCACGGAUCGGGUUUAAUUAAUUGAAUUAAUUAAUUAUUGGACCGGACCGGGCCGAGCCUAUUUGGGUUUAUAUAAAUACAUAACUAGGGUUUGAGGUCCAUAAGGUUUUCAUUAUUCUUGCUGGCACAAGAAAAAACCCUAGAAGUUGCAACCUUAUUCUCUGUGUGGAUCACCGUUGGAGGCUGGACAAUUGGACAGCUGUGGUGGCAAAUCAAGGUUGAUGGAACUGAAAGAAAAGCAAAGAAGUUUGCAGAUCUGGAAAAGGUACAAUCUUAUCACAAUUUCUAUCUAAACACAAAGGCGAUUCUUGGUGGGAAUCGAAAAUUAUUUUAAAUUCCGCUGUGCAUGUAUAAGUAGAUUCACAACACAUCUUCUUCCAAAUUAUAGCACUUUCAUUACGUCAAUACAUGUAACGUUGCACCAAAACAUUUGCUUUAUAUAUUUGUUCAAGAACCAACACACGCUUAUAUUUAAUAUUCACCAACUAACGUGCAACACGCAUUUCCUCACUAGUAUAAUCAAAGUUCAAAGUGGGCUAAGAAUCACGUGAUUGGAACAUGGUUUGGAGAAUUUUGUAUUAAAAUAUUAUUGCAUUAUCAAUGUUAGAAAAUUGACGACUAGAUGAGUCUGGACAAAAUUAAACCCCAUUUGAUAGCAAUUUUUUACCCAAAAAAAUCAAAUUUUUGAUCGCUAUUUUACUAUUUCAAUCGUCAUUUUUUACUUCUUCACUCAUAAAUGGGAUCCAUUUUUCUCUUUAAAGAUUAACAAAUUAAUUUCAUAAUUAUUAUCGAAAGACCUUAAAGAAGGAAAAGAUGUAAAAUAUUUGAAGAAAUAGAAACUGUGCGAAGAGAGAGAUUUCAAUUUUUUUUCAAUGACGUGGGAUGACUUGGAGAUUUGAACUAAAACCGACCGUGUUUCUUAUUAUUUGUUUAUGCAACAAAACUUGAAACUUUGUUGCAUGUUGUAAUGAUAUGAAAUAAACAAAUGAUUUGAUUGUAUGUGUGAUGCUAAUUCAUUGUACCUAAAAUGGACACCAAAACCGAAUUCAAUUCUGUCGUGCAUACAAUUGUCAUGUUUAAAGAAAAAUGAACUUUAAGAUAUUUUUGGGUUGAACCCUAACCUUAAGGGUCCCCCACCGUCCCGCUUCUGGAGCAUCGUGAGAGAAGUUAAUCGCGGACUGUGCCCCAACAGAUUAGGAAACAAGAGUUGCCAAUACACUAGUACUCACAGAGAGUCUCAAUCCAUGUUUCAAGAAUCGAAGAACUUUAAGAUAUUUUCUUUUUACUAAUAUGUGGUCUUCUUUAUUCCAAUAAUUGUAGUUAAAGAAAAUGUCCUGUCUAUUUUGUCUGAGAAAUUAGGUAUGGUCAAAUUCUCCAUGAUUUUAGUUGUUAAACUUUCCCAAAAGUGUGCCACUAAUGUGAUUGGAUUGCUCCCAAAGUGCUUUUGUGAGGCAAUUAAAUUGUAAAUUGCAUUCUAUCCGUAAGCGUUUAGUAUGCAUCAAAACUCUAAAUAUAUGACACCUUAGUCGAAAAUACUUUUAGAAAGUUGAUUCGAAUUCUUUUGAACACCCCAUACUUGAAAUAUUCAAUUUAUCUUGUGUUCUUUCUCAUUUGAUUCUUUUAACGAAAAAUUAAUUUUUAACGAGUGUUACACUAAACUUCAUAUUGAAUGAUUGAUUCAUUUAAAUUGUCUAAGCGUCAAUUGUGGUCUCAAUUGAUCUUUUGUUGCAAAAAUUAAAGCUUCUCAUAUGCUUUUGUUAUUUGACCAAACUAAUUUGUUUGUUGAUGACGAUUCUCAAAGGACAAACAUCAGAGGGUCACGAGAAAUCACUUAGGAAAGUUGUGGAUUGACUGAAGGUUACAAGACACGAUCAGAGGAUUCGAGCAUAGAUUCAGGACUGGCAUAAGGUCAAAACUGGUUGUCGUAGCUCCAAUCCGAGUGUGGAUAAAAUAGGAAUCAGGGAGUGAUUCAAUUUUUCUUUUAAGUCCAUUUCUAUUUCGGUUAAAAAAAUUUAAUGUUAAUUAUUUAUUUUGUAAUUCUGAAUUGAAGUGUGUAUUGAGCUUUUCUAGUGAAUUUAUUCUUAGCUUGAGAGACCGUGGAUUUUUUCAUGUUGUGAGAUUUUACCACCUAAAAUAAGUUCAUGGG
Molecule: long non-coding RNA, 3669 nt
Filed under: Olea europaea (common olive)
Lineage: Eukaryota; Viridiplantae; Streptophyta; Magnoliopsida; Lamiales; Oleaceae
Description: long non-coding RNA (OEUR_LNC007171)
Source: RNAcentral